Long non-coding RNA from Pipra filicauda (Wire-tailed manakin), 392 nucleotides. RefSeq lists it as uncharacterized. The record is from RefSeq and is a predicted model, not a curated record. The transcript is spliced from 3 exons. Lineage: Eukaryota; Metazoa; Chordata; Aves; Passeriformes; Pipridae.
ACUCCAGCUCAGCCAGACCCAAUACAUUAGGUCAAAAACUUUCAGAAAAUAUUAUUUUGCUGUACUGUAUUUGGUUUUGCCAGGAAAAUUGAAGGAAAAAAGCUACCUUAAGUGCAAUGCCAAGGCUCUCUUUGUCAACCAAAGCGCUUGUCUUUGGUGCCUCAGUUCACUUCCCAAUACAAGGAAAAGAAAGACUUCAUUUAUCCUGUGCUCCAGCUGGCAAGGUUUCCCAGUUGCUCCAUCUCUAGGAUCAAAGACUGUGACCAAUACUGCUAAGAGAGCCUGUGUAGCUGCUUUGGCAUAUUUAUCAGCCACAGACUGCAAGUUUGGUUUCCCGGAAAGAGGUGCUCAAGAAAGGUCUCAAAGAAUAGCUGUUUAGGAAACAGGAGGAG